UACAGAGGGUGCGAGCGUUAAUCGGAAUUACUGGGCGUAAAGCGUGCGUAGGCGGAAUGUUAAGCUAGAUGUGAAAUCCCCGGGCUCAACCUGGGAAUUGCAUUUAGAACUGGCGUUCUAGAGUAUUGGAGGGGAGAGUGGAAUUUCCGGUGUAGCGGUGAAAUGCGUAGAUAUCGGAAGGAACACCAGUGGCGAAGGCGACUCUCUGGCCAAAUACUGACGCUGAGGUACGAAAGCGUGGGUAGCGAACAGG
Molecule: ribosomal RNA, 253 nt
Filed under: uncultured bacterium
Lineage: Bacteria
Description: partial 16S ribosomal RNA
Rfam family: Bacterial small subunit ribosomal RNA
Source: RNAcentral